This 561-nucleotide ribosomal RNA is filed under the name uncultured bacterium. Its description in RNAcentral is "bacterial SSU rRNA". It matches the Rfam family "Bacterial small subunit ribosomal RNA", at positions 337 to 916 of the family's 1533-position model. The record is from RNAcentral.
UCCUACGGGAGGCAGCAGUGGGGAAUAUUGGACAAUGGGGGCAACCCUGAUCCAGCCAUGCCGCGUGAGUGAUGAAGGCCUUAGGGUCGUAAAGCUCUUUCGCCUGUGAAGAUAAUGACGGUAGCAGGUAAAGAAACCCCGGCUAACUCCGUGCCAGCAGCCGCGGUAAUACGGAGGGGGUUAGCGUUGUUCGGAAUUACUGGGCGUAAAGCGCACGUAGGCGGAUCGGAAAGUUGGGGGUGAAAUCCCGGGGCUCAACCCCGGAACUGCCUCCAAAACUAUCGGUCUAGAGUUCGAGAGAGGUGAGUGGAAUUCCGAGUGUAGAGGUGAAAUUCGUAGAUAUUCGGAGGAACACCAGUGGCGAAGGCGGCUCACUGGCUCGAUACUGACGCUGAGGUGCGAAAGUGUGGGGGGCAAACAGGAUUAGAUACCCUGGUAGUCCACACCGUAAACGAUGAAUGCCAGUCGUCGGGUAGCAUGCUAUUCGGUGACACACCUAACGGAUUAAGCAUUCCGCCUGGGGAGUACGGUCGCAAGAUUAAAACUCAAAUGAAUUGACGG